CCUACGGGAGGCAGCAGUGGGGAAUAUUGCACAAUGGGCGAAAGCCUGAUGCAGCAACGCCGCGUGAGCGAUGAAGGCCUUAGGGUCGUAAAGCUCUGUCCUCAAGGAAGAUAAUGACGGCACUUGAGGAGGAAGCCCCGGCUAACUACGUACCAGCAGCCGCGGUAAUACGUAGGGGGCUAGCGUUAUCCGGAAUUACUGGGCGUAAGGGGUGCGUAGGUGGUUUCUUAAGUCAGGGGUGAAAGGCUACGGCUCAACCGUAGUAAGCCUUUGAAACUGGAGAACUUGAGUGCAGGAGAGGAGAGUGGAAUUCCUGGUGUAGCGGUGAAAUGCGUAGAUAUUAGGAGGAACACCAGUUGCGAAGGCGGCUCUCUGGACUGUAACUGACACUGAGGCACGAAAGCGUGGGGAGCAAACAGGAUUAGAUACCCCAGUAGUC
Molecule: ribosomal RNA, 439 nt
Filed under: uncultured bacterium
Lineage: Bacteria
Description: partial 16S ribosomal RNA
Rfam family: Bacterial small subunit ribosomal RNA
Source: RNAcentral